GACGAACGCUGGCGGCGUGCUUAACACAUGCGAGUCGAACGGAGAGGCCCUGCUUUUGCGGGGUGCUCGAGUGGCGAACGGGUGAGUAACACGUGAGUAACCUGCCCUUGACUUUGGGAUAACUUCAGGAAACUGGGGCUAAUACCGGAUAGGAGCUCCUGCUGCAUGGUGGGGGUUGGAAAGUUUCGGCGGUUGGGGAUGGACUCGCGGCUUAUCAGCUUGUUGGUGGGGUAGUGGCUUACCAAGGCUUUGACGGGUAGCCGGCCUGAGAGGGUGACCGGCCACAUUGGGACUGAGAUACGGCCCAGACUCCUACGGGAGGCAGCAGUGGGGAAUAUUGCACAAUGGGCGGAAGCCUGAUGCAGCAACGCCGCGUGCGGGAUGACGGCCUUCGGGUUGUAAACCGCUUUCGCCUGUGACGAAGCGUGAGUGACGGUAAUGGGUAAAGAAGCACCGGCUAACUACGUG
Molecule: ribosomal RNA, 468 nt
Filed under: uncultured bacterium
Lineage: Bacteria
Description: partial 16S ribosomal RNA
Rfam family: Bacterial small subunit ribosomal RNA
Source: RNAcentral